AGUCGAGCGGAAAGGCCCUUCGGGGUACUCGAGCGGCGAACGGGUGAGUAACACGAUGAGCAACCUGCCCCAGGCUUUGGGAUAACCCCGGCAAACCGGGGCUAAUACCGAAUAUGACCUCUGACCGCAUGGUUGGUGGUGGAAAGUUUUUCGGCUUGGGAUGGGCUCGCGGCCUAUCAGCUUGUUGGUGGGGUGAUGGCCUACCAAGGCGACGACGGGUAGCCGGCCUGAGAGGGCGACCGGCCACACUGGGACUGAGACACGGCCCAGACUCCUACGGGAGGCAGCAGUGGGGAAUAUUGCACAAUGGGCGGAAGCCUGAUGCAGCGACGCCGCGUGAGGGAUGACGGCCUUCGGGUUGUAAACCUCUUUCAGCAGGGACGAAUCGUAGGUGACGGUACCUGCUAAGAAGCGCCGGCCAACUACCUGCCACCAGCCGCGGUAAGACGUAGGGCGCGAGCGUUGUCCGGAUUUAUUGGGAGUAAAGAGCUCGUAGGCGGCUUGUCGCGUCGACCGUGAAAACUUGGGGCUCAACCCCAAGCCUGCGGUCGAUACGGGCAGGCUAGAGUUCGCUAGGGGAGACUGGAAUUCCUGGUGUAACGGAGAAAUGCGCAAAUAUCAGGAAGUAAACCGGUGGCGAAGGCGGGUCUCUGGACCUAUACUGACACUGAGGACGAAAGGCGUGGUUAGCGAAGAGGAUUAGAUACCCUGGUAGUCCACGCUGUAAACGUUAGGCGGUAGAUGUGGGGGGCCUCUCUUGUUCCUUGUGAUGCAACUAACGCAUUAAGCGCCUCGCCUGGGGAGUACGGCUGCAAUGCUAAAACUCAAUGGAAUUUACGGGGGCCCGCACAAACGGCGGAGCAUGCGGAUUAAUUCGAUGCAACGCGAAGAACCUUACCUGGGUUUGACAUGGCCGCAAAACUGUCAGAGAUGGCAGGUCCUUCGGGGGCGGUCACAGGUGGUGCAUGGCUGUCGUCAGCUCGUGUCGUGAGAUGUUGGGUUAAGUCCCGCAACGAGCGCAACCCUCGUUCGAUGUUGCCAGCGCGUUAUGGCGGGGACUCAUCGAAGACUGCCGGGGUCAACUCGGAGGAAGGUGGGGAUGACGUCAAGUCAUCAUGCCCCUUAUGUCCAGGGCUUCACGCAUGCUACAAUGGCCGGUACAAUGGGCUGCGAUACCGUGAGGUGGAGCGAAUCCCAAAAAACCGGUCUCAGUUCGGAUCGGGGUCUGCAACUCGACCCCGUGAAGUCGGAGUCGCUAGUAAUCGCAGAUCAGCAACGCUGCGGUGAAUACGUUCCCGGGCCUUGUACACACCU
Molecule: ribosomal RNA, 1314 nt
Filed under: Micromonospora sp. NS094
Lineage: Bacteria; Bacillati; Actinomycetota; Actinomycetes; Micromonosporales; Micromonosporaceae
Description: bacterial SSU rRNA
Rfam family: Bacterial small subunit ribosomal RNA
Source: RNAcentral